Molecule: long non-coding RNA, 539 nt
Filed under: Capsella grandiflora
Lineage: Eukaryota; Viridiplantae; Streptophyta; Magnoliopsida; Brassicales; Brassicaceae
Description: long non-coding RNA (CGRA_LNC000499)
Source: RNAcentral
UGUUUUUUUUGUUCCAUCUAACGGUUGAGAUAGAUGAGCGUAUAGUAAGUUAGCAUGCACCUUGUUACACAGAAUUAUACCACUUGUUAAGUUUCAUGUUUUACCUUUUACGGCGAAUCUAUUAAAAACGUGUGCUUGAAAGCUGAAAUCUUCACGGGAAAUCUAGAGACGGCGAAGGGAAAAGAAAAGAAAAGGAUGACACUUUCGUCAGAUCCAUCAUCAUCAUCUUCAUCCAUGUAUCACACGAAUCCACUCUCCGUCGUGUAAUUCCAAUACCUGAAACCCUCUCUUUCAUAAAAAAAAAAAAAAAAAAAAAAAAAAGAGUAGUUUUUUUAGGUUAGGUGAAAAUAACAAUGGAAUCAGAGCUCAAAGAUAUGAUUUCGAAUCCACCUUCGAGCAAAGAGGAACGGCCCUUACUGAAAUCAGAAUCCGAUUUGGCUGCUGCCAUUGAAGAGCUAGACAAAAAGUUUGCACCUUACGCGAGGACGGAUUUGUAUGGGACGAUGGGUUUGGGUCCUUUCCCGAUGUCGGAGAAGAUU